This 287-nucleotide unclassified non-coding RNA is filed under the name Nectriaceae sp. RNAcentral describes it as "partial contains 5.8S ribosomal RNA, internal transcribed spacer 2, and large subunit ribosomal RNA". The record is from RNAcentral. Lineage: Eukaryota; Fungi; Ascomycota; Sordariomycetes; Hypocreales; Nectriaceae.
CGCACAUUGCGCCCGCCAGUAUUCUGGCGGGCAUGCCUGUUCGAGCGUCAUUUCAACCCUCAAGCCCAGCUUGGUGUUGGGGACCGGCCCAAACCCCCCUCCCUCCCUCCGGGGUGGGUGGCGGGGCGGCCGCCCCCGAAAUGAAUUGGCGGUCUCGCCGCAGCCUCCUCUGCGUAGUAGCACAAAAACAACUCGCAACGGGAGCGCGGCGCGGCCACUGCCGUAAAACGCACACAACUUCUUUUAGAGUUGACCUCGGAUCAGGUAGGAAUACCCGCUGAACUUAA